Molecule: ribosomal RNA, 253 nt
Filed under: uncultured bacterium
Lineage: Bacteria
Description: partial 16S ribosomal RNA
Rfam family: Bacterial small subunit ribosomal RNA
Source: RNAcentral
UACGUAGGGUGCGAGCGUUGUCCGGAAUUACUGGGCGUAAAGAGCUCGUAGGUGGUUUGUCGCGUUGUUCGUGAAAACUCACAGCUCAACUGUGGGCGUGCGGGCGAUACGGGCAGACUGGAGUACUGCAGGGGAGACUGGAAUUCCUGGCGUAGCGGUGGAAUGCGCAGAUAUCAGGAGGAACACCGGUGGCGAAGGCGGGUCUCUGGGCCGUAACUGACGCUGAGGAGCGAAAGCAUGGGGAGCGAACAGG